RNAcentral lists this long non-coding RNA (706 nucleotides) under Homo sapiens (human). RNAcentral's name for it is "HSALNT0091143". Lineage: Eukaryota; Metazoa; Chordata; Mammalia; Primates; Hominidae. The record is from RNAcentral.
GUUUGUCUUCGGCUCCACGGGCAAGAAAUCAUGAUAAUUUAAAUUCUGAAUCAUGGAAUUGGACUUAAAAAACAAUUGAGUUUUGGAGCUUCUAGCAGUAGAAUCAACUGGGAGGACCCAAUUUCAUCCAAUUUGUAGCUUGAUUUCAUCCAGCAAGACAUACUUAAGCAUAAAGACCUAAAAGUGGAGAAAUUCUUUGAUGUUUAGACACUCAAAGUUAAGAAAACAUGAGAGAGAUGAAAGUUAUCUGAGAAAAUAACAGGAGAAAAAAGAAAUACAGUCUCUUGGAACUAAAAGUAUAUAAGGAACACUUCCUCUGGGAUGAGAGAAGGUAAGGGUCCAUCUCUUGCCUCUACUAGCUGCUAUUUCUACCUGUUUCCAUUGGUAAAGGAGGUUGUGAUGGUUAAUACUGAGUGUCAGCUUGAUUGGAUUGAAAGAUGCAAAGUAUUGCUCCUGAGUGUGUCUGUGAGGGUGUUGCCAAAAGAGAUUAAUUAACAUUUGAAUCAGUGGACUCGGAGAGGCAAACCUACUCUCAAUCUGGGUGGGCAUCAUCUAAUCAGCUGCCAGCAUAAAAGCAGGCAUGGAAAGAGCAGACUGGCUGAGUCUUCUGUCCUCCAUCUUUCUCCCAUGCUGGAUGUUUCCUGCCCUCGAACAUCAGACUCUAAGUUCUACAGCUUUUGGACUCUUGGACUUACACCAGUGAUCU